RNAcentral lists this ribosomal RNA (1211 nucleotides) under metagenome. RNAcentral's name for it is "bacterial LSU rRNA". It matches the Rfam family "Bacterial large subunit ribosomal RNA", at positions 1698 to 2925 of the family's 2925-position model. The record is from RNAcentral.
ACUCUCUCUAAGGAACUCGGCAAAAUGGCCCCGUAACUUCGGGAGAAGGGGUGCCACCGCAAGGUGGUCGCAGUGAAGAGGCCCAGGCGACUGUUUACCAAAAACACAGGUCUCCGCUAAGUCGCAAGACGAUGUUUGGGGGCUGACGCCUGCCCAGUGCCGGAAGGUUAAGGAAGCUGGUCAGCGAAAGCGAAGCUAGCGACUGAAGCCCCGGUGAACGGCGGCCGUAACGAUAACGGUCCUAAGGUAGCGAAAUUCCUUGUCGGGUAAGUUCCGACCCGCACGAAAGGCGUAACGAUCUGGGCGCUGUCUCGGAGAGAGGCUCGGCGAAAUAGAAUUGUCUGUGAAGAUGCGGACUACGUGCACCCGGACAGAAAGACCCUAUGAAGCUUUACUGUAGCUUGGUAUUGUGCUCGGGCUCGGAAUGCGCAGGAUAGGUGGGAGGCUAUGAACCAUUGCUUGUGGGUGAUGGUGAGCCACUGGUGAGAUACCACUCUUUCCGAGCUAGAGUUCUAACAGCCACCCGUUAUCCGGGGGCUGGACAGUAUCAGGUGGGCAGUUUGACUGGGGCGGUCGCCUCCUAAAAGGUAACGGAGGCGCGCAAAGGUUUGCUCAGGCUGGUUGGAAAUCAGCCGACGAGUGUAAAAGCAGAAGCAAGCUUGACUGUGAGACCUACAAGUCGAACAGGGAGGAAACUCGGCUUUAGUGAUCCGACGGUUCUGCGUGGAUGGCCGUCGCUCAACGGAUAAAAGUUACUCUAGGAUAACAGGCUGAUCUCCCCCAAGAGUUCACAUCGACGGGGAGGUUUGGCACCUCGAUGUCGGCUCAUCGCAACCUGGGGCUGAAGUCGGUCCCAAGGGUUGGGCUGUUCGCCCAUUAAAGCGGUACGCGAGCUGGGUUCAGAACGUCGUGAGACAGUUCGGUCCAUAUCCGGUGCAUGCGCAGGAAUAUUGAGAGGAUUUCUCCCUAGUACGAGAGGACCGGGAGGAACGCACCUCUGGUGUACCAGUUAUCGUGCCAACGGUAAACGCUGGGUAGCCAUGUGCGGAGAGGAUAACCGCUGAAAGCAUCUAAGUGGGAAGCCCACCUCAAGAUGAGUAUUCCCAUGGGGUAACCCAGUAAGGUCACGGGAAGAACACCCGUUGAUAGGCUCUACGUGGAAGCGCAGUAAUGUGUGAAGCGGAGGAGUACUAAUAGACCGAGGGCUUGAC